GUCUCUAGAGAUCUAAAACAGAAGCACAAAUUAACGAAAAUAUCUCUCGCAGUCAGCUUCUUCUAGCGUUGCAGAACAAAGGGAGCAGGCCGGAGAAGCGUAGAAAAGCAAGUUAAAAAUGGAAGGAAGUGGUAGGAAGAGUUUCACAAAAAUGAUAGCUGUGGUAUUGUUAAUAGUGGGAACAUUAUCAGGACAAAUUUAUGCAUCUCGUGAAACAGAAUAUGAUGCAUGUUUCAACAAAUGCUUUGAUGACUGUACUGAGCCAAACCCUGGUGGUGAUUUCGAUUUUUUUGCAAAAUGUGAUGAAGAUUGUUACGCUUCAUGCACAAAAAAUUCUCCACUGGACAGCCGUUGCAAGACCAUUGCUAAGAUUAGUUAAGGGAGGAGGAGCUUCACGACUAGGAAUAAUACUGCUUGCUAUAUAUCGAAGGGUAAAAUAGUUUUCAUAUUAAAUUUGUGUUCUAGAAUAAUCGAUUUCGUUGUUGAACUGAUAUUAUUGGGUGUUGGGUUUUCUCUGGUUGGAAAUCUGUAAUUAAAUCUUAAAUUUGAUCACGUAAUAUAUGAAGGCAAUCGUCAAAAUUACUUUGUGAAAGUAAAUGCUUUAUUAGGAUAUA
Molecule: long non-coding RNA, 614 nt
Organism: Papaver somniferum (opium poppy)
Lineage: Eukaryota; Viridiplantae; Streptophyta; Magnoliopsida; Ranunculales; Papaveraceae
Exons: 3
Source: RefSeq, a predicted model, not a curated record